Molecule: ribosomal RNA, 994 nt
Filed under: uncultured bacterium
Lineage: Bacteria
Description: bacterial SSU rRNA
Rfam family: Bacterial small subunit ribosomal RNA
Source: RNAcentral
AGAGUUUGAUCCUGGCUCAGAACGAACGCUGGCGGCGCGUCUUAAGCAUGCAAGUCGAACGGCAAGGCAGGUGCUUGCACCUGCCCUAGAGUGGCGGACUGGUGAGUAACACGUGGGUGACAUGCCUUUUAGUUGGGGAUAGCUACUAGAAAUAGUAGAUAAUACCGAAUGUGAUCAAUAUUUAUAGAUGAUGUUGAGGAGAGGAGCUAAGGCUUCGCUAAAAGAUUGGCCCGCGGCCCAUUAGCUAGUUGGUAGGGUAAAGGCUUACCAAGGCGAUGAUGGGUAUCCGGCCUGAGAGGGUGAUCGGACACAUUGGGACUGAGAUACGGCCCAGACUCCUACGGGAGGCAGCAGCUAAGAAUAUUCCACAAUGGACGAAAGUCUGAUGGAGCGACGCCGCGUGGAUGAUGAAGGCCGAAAGGUUGUAAAAUCCUUUUACACUGGAGGAAUAAGCAGAGUAGGGAAUGACUCUGUGAUGACUGUACAGUUUGAAUAAGCAACGGCUAAUUACGUGCCAGCAGCCGCGGUAACACGUAAGUUGCGAGCGUUGUUCGGAAUUAUUGGGCGUAAAGGGCAUGUAGGCGGAUUUGCAAGCUUGAUGUGAAAUCCCGCAGCUUAACUGCGGAACUGCAUUGAGAACUGCAAGACUAGAGUUACUGAGGGGAAACUAGAAUUCCAAGUGUAGGGGUGAAAUCUGUAGAUAUUUGGAAGAAUACCAAUGGCGAAGGCAAGUUUCUGGCAGAUAACUGACGCUGAGGUGCGAAGGUGCGGGGAGCAAACAGGAUUAGAUACCCUGGUAGUCCGCACAGUAAACGAUGUACACUAGGUGUUUGACCAUGAGGUUGAGUGCCAUAGCUAACCGCAUAAGUGUACCGCCUGGGAAGUAUGCCCGCAAGGUGAAUUUCAAAGGGAAUUGACGGGGGGCCCGCACAAGCGGGUGGAGCAUGUGGUUUAAUUCCAAGGGUACGCCGAGGAACCUUUACCUGGGUUUUAA